This 324-nucleotide long non-coding RNA is filed under the name Papio anubis (olive baboon). RNAcentral describes it as "lncRNA (ENSPANG00000047594.1)". The record is from RNAcentral. Lineage: Eukaryota; Metazoa; Chordata; Mammalia; Primates; Cercopithecidae.
AUGGUAGCAGUCAUUAUCAUCUGUGCUUGGCUAAUCCUUCAUAUUCACCUUCGCAUGCAUUUUGAUUGGGGAGCCUCCCCAGAUACAGGUGAUGUAAGACGAGCCAUUGGACACGUGAGCCUGAUGCCAUCCCAGACACCUGCUGUGCCCCAAAUGCGCUGGGCCAACUGGGUAUAUGUACGCAGGGCGAAGGUAGGUUCCUCUCCAAGAAGGCUCAACUACAGGGUUUCCAGGAGCCUUGAACAGAGCACAGGUGAAGAGAGGAUGGGUUAUGCAGGCGCCGGCCACACAGCUGUUCCCAGGGACCCUUUAGGAGCGCUCUAG